This 427-nucleotide ribosomal RNA is filed under the name uncultured bacterium. Its description in RNAcentral is "bacterial SSU rRNA". It matches the Rfam family "Bacterial small subunit ribosomal RNA", at positions 355 to 775 of the family's 1533-position model. The record is from RNAcentral.
UGGGGAAUCUUGCGCAAUGGGCGAAAGCCUGACGCAGCAACGCCGCGUGAGCGAAGAAGGCCUUCGGGUUGUAAAGCUCUGUCAGGGGGAAAGAAGGCACCUGGGUUAAUAGCCCAAGGGCUGACGGUACCUCCAAAGGAAGCCACGGCUAACUACGUGCCAGCAGCCGCGGUAAUACGUAGGUGGCGAGCGUUGUCCGGAAUCAUUGGGCGUAAAGAGCGCGUAGGUGGCUUGUCAGGUCCGAUGUGAAAACCUGAGGCUCAACUUCAGGCGUGCAUCGGGAAGCGGCUUGCUAGGGUCUGGGAGAGGAGGGUGGAAGUCCUGGUGUAGCGGUGAAAUGCGUAGAUAUCAGGAGGAACACCGGUAGCGAAGGCGGCUCUCUGGAACAGUACUGACGCUGAGGCGCGAAAGCUAGGGGAGCGAACAG